AUACGCGGGCUGUCCGGGUGUAUAAAAAGCAUCUGAAGAAAGGGCCGGGCAAGACCGGUGCCAGCCGCCGCGGUAAUACCGGCGGCUCGAGUGGUGACCACUUUUAUUGGGCUUAAAGCGUUCGUAGCUGGACUCUUAAGUCUCUUGGGAAAUCCCGCGGCUCAACCGUGGGGCGUUUAAGAGAUACUGGGAGUCUAGGAACCGGGAGAGGUAAGAGGUACUUCGGGGGUAGAAGUGAAAUUCUGUAAUCCUCGAGGGACCACCGAUGGCGAAGGCAUCUUACCAGAACGGCUUCGACAGUGAGGAACGAAAGCUGGGGGAGCGAACGGGAUUAGAUACCCCGGUAGUCCCAGCCGUAAACGAUGCGCGUUAGGUGUACUGGUGACCACGAGUCACUGGGGUGCCGAAGGGAAACCGUGAAACAGUGCCGCCUGGGAAUACGUCGCCAGCU
This 451-nucleotide ribosomal RNA is filed under the name uncultured archaeon. RNAcentral describes it as "bacterial SSU rRNA". It matches the Rfam family "Archaeal small subunit ribosomal RNA", at positions 398 to 848 of the family's 1478-position model. The record is from RNAcentral.